RNAcentral lists this unclassified non-coding RNA (332 nucleotides) under soil metagenome. RNAcentral's name for it is "partial contains 5.8S ribosomal RNA, internal transcribed spacer 2, and large subunit ribosomal RNA". The stretch from base 1 to 120 matches the Rfam family "5.8S ribosomal RNA", at positions 35 to 154 of the family's 154-position model. The record is from RNAcentral.
GAUGAAGAACGCAGCGAAAUGCGAUAAGUAGUGUGAAUUGCAGAAUUCAGUGAAUCAUCGAAUCUUUGAACGCACAUUGCGCCCUUUGGUAUUCCUUAGGGCAUGCCUGUUCGAGCGUCAUUUAAACCCUCAAGCUAAGCUUGGUGUUGGGUGACUGUCCGCUUCACGGCGGACUCGCCUCAAAAUUAUUGGCGGCCGGUACAUUGGCUUCGAGCGCAGCAGAAACGCGAACUCGGGCCCGUCGUAUUGGCUCCCAGAAGCUAUCUUCACAAUUUUGACCUCGGAUCAGGUAGGGAUACCCGCUGAACUUAAGCAUAUCAAUAAGCGGAGGA